Molecule: long non-coding RNA, 312 nt
Filed under: Glycine max (soybean)
Lineage: Eukaryota; Viridiplantae; Streptophyta; Magnoliopsida; Fabales; Fabaceae
Description: long non-coding RNA (GMAX_LNC001507)
Source: RNAcentral
UUUCUUGUUGGAGGUUUGAAAACAAAAGGUAAAAGAAACUAUGGUUGAAACUAGCCAAAAUAAACACUAAAAGAGGUGUGAAAGAUAAGGGAAAAAACUAAUUGGUAAAAUGCAAGCUAUCUAAGUGGUUUGACAAUGGAAGGUAAAGGAAAUAAGCUAUGAAAGUAAGCAAGAAAAGUAAACUAGGUGAAUCCUAAGAGUGUUUGGAUGACCACAUUCAAGGUUCCCAACAAAACACUCACUAUCCUAAGGAAAAAUUGCCUAAAAUUAUUACACACAAAUGGAAGUUUUGUAACCUAUUGGAGGCUCCCA